RNAcentral lists this ribosomal RNA (358 nucleotides) under Micractinium sp. E1. Its description in RNAcentral is "SSU rRNA". It matches the Rfam family "Eukaryotic small subunit ribosomal RNA", at positions 611 to 978 of the family's 1831-position model. Lineage: Eukaryota; Viridiplantae; Chlorophyta; Trebouxiophyceae; Chlorellales; Chlorellaceae. The record is from RNAcentral.
UGCUGCAGUUAACGCUCGUAGUUGGAUUUCGGGCGGGGCCUGCCGGUCCGCCGUUUCCCGUGCCUGGCAGGGCCCACCUUGUUGCCGGGGACGGGCUCCUGGGCUUCACUGUCCGGGACUCGGAGUCGGCGCUGUUACUUUGAGUAAAUGAGAGUGUUCAAAGCAGGCCUACCCUCUGAAUACAUUAGCAUGGAAUAACACGAUACGACUCUGGCCUAUCCUGUUGGUCUGUCGGACCGGAGUAAUGAUUAAGAGGGACAGUCGGGGGCAUUCCUAUUUCAUUGUCCGAGGUGAAAUUCUUGGAUUUAUGAAAGACGAACUACUGCGAAAGCAUUUGCCAAGGAGGUUUUCAUUAAUC